Molecule: non-coding RNA, 73 nt
Organism: Paramuricea clavata
Lineage: Eukaryota; Metazoa; Cnidaria; Anthozoa; Malacalcyonacea; Plexauridae
Source: the annotation of a GenBank genome assembly
CGGCCCUGAGCUCAGUUGGUUAAAGCGCUGCACCAGAAUCGCAGGGCCGCAGGUUCAGUUCCUGCAGGGCCUA